This 428-nucleotide ribosomal RNA is filed under the name uncultured bacterium. Its description in RNAcentral is "bacterial SSU rRNA". It matches the Rfam family "Bacterial small subunit ribosomal RNA", at positions 28 to 429 of the family's 1533-position model. The record is from RNAcentral.
GACGAACGCUGGCGGCGUGCCUAACACAUGCAAGUCGAACGGAGUAAACCGCUGAUUUGAAGGUAGCUUGCUACUGGAUUUUCUUGGUUUACUUAGUGGCGGACGGGCGAGUAACGCGUGAGCAACCUGCCUUUCAGAGGGGAAUAACGACCGGAAACGGUCGCUAAUACCGCAUAACGUAUCAUGAUGGCAUCAUCGAGAUACCAAAGGAGCAAUCCGCUGAAAGAUGGGCUCGCGUCCGAUUAGAUAGUUGGUGGGUAACGGCCUACCAAGUCGACGAUCGGUAGCCGAACUGAGAGGUUGAACGGCCACAUUGGGACUGAGACACGGCCCAGACUCCUACGGGAGGCAGCAGUAGGGAAUUUUCGGCAAUGGGCGAAAGCCUGACCGAGCAACGCCGCGUGAGUGAAGACGGCCUCGGUUGUAAG